CAGGCUUCAUCUGCUUAUUCUGAGUCCUUGACAACAGAGUGGGGAUUCUGAGUCCCCAUUUCAGGCUCAAGAGAGGUGGCCUUCUUGUUUCUCAUCAUCUGAUUUAUACCUUGAGGAGUAAAGCAACCUGGGAAGACACCAAUGAUUCUGAUUACAUGCAGCAUGAAUCUGAUUCCUUUUUGUCUGGCUCACUUUCUCAGCACCCAAUUCAUUUCCAGAAGCACAUCAAUUCCAGGAAGUGCAAGACCCUAGGACAGAGUAUUCUUUCAUUGCCUGCUAAUGCGGGUUCUCUGCUGCUGAGUCAUGAGAAUAAAGGUUUAGCCCUGAGUGGAAUGGAGACUCCUGGAGCCUGAAUUCAUGGUGAUGGUUCCUAUCUACUUCUGCAACAGCUUGGCUGGCCGAUCCAAAGGACAUCUCUCCAGAAGUCUCUGUUCUUCAUAAUGCUAACUGAAUGGAGUCAGUAACAAAGCAGGCAAAGAAAGGAUCCUGCUCUGUCUCCUAGAAACCCUAUAUCUUGGCUGGGUUCUGAAUGAGCAACUUUUCGCACUUGUCUCUAGAGCUGACCACAACUUUCCUGAUCUCUCACCUGCAAUCCUGUGUUUAUUUUACCUGUAGUUCGAGUCUACCCAACUCACAGCCAUUAAACUAGAUUUCACUAAGCCCAAUUCUUCAUUUUCUCUCUUUCUUUUUUUUGCUUAGUCACUAUGAUAUUUCUGUACUUGGUGUGACAAAAAACAAACUCCUCCAUCUUGGGAUAUACCCUUCUCAAACCAAACCUGCUCACUUGUUCUCCCUUCCUACCUGGCUCACUACCACACACACCUCUGCUCUCAUUGUUCCUGCCAACAACAUUGUCUUCCUCUCAAGCCCACUUCCUUGCCUACUGACUCUUCCUGCUGUGCAUGCUCAUUUCCACAUCUGAAAGGAGUCAAUGUGCUGCUCCAGGUCCCAGACACACUCAGCAUGAAGCGCACAGCUCACCAACAGUGCUCCCCUCCUCUCCAUCCCCCACCAAACCCCAGCUGCUGACUCAGACUUGGGCUGAUGGGGCACCCAGACCUCACCUCUUCACCCCUGCUCUAUGGGCCUCAUUGCUAUAACUGAGCUGUUGUCUGGGUCCUUGUGUAGGUUCCAGCUGAGUCAUCUUGCCUCAUCUUUU
Molecule: long non-coding RNA, 1159 nt
Organism: Heterocephalus glaber (naked mole-rat)
Lineage: Eukaryota; Metazoa; Chordata; Mammalia; Rodentia; Bathyergidae
Source: Ensembl